GACGAACGCUGGCGGCGUGCUUAACACAUGCAAGUCGAACGGAAAGGCCCUGCUUGCAGGGUACUCGAGUGGCGAACGGGUGAGUAACACGUGGGUGAUCUGCCCUGCACUUCGGGAUAAGCCUGGGAAACUGGGUCUAAUACCGGAUAGGAGCCAUUUUUAGUGUGAUGGUUGGAAAGUUUUUUCGGUGUAGGAUGAGCUCGCGGCCUAUCAGCUUGUUGGUGAGGUAAUGGCCUACCAAGGCGGCGACGGGUAGCCGGCCUGAGAGGGUGGACGGCCACAUUGGGACUGAGAUACGGCCCAGACUCCUACGGGAGGCAGCAGUGGGGAAUAUUGCACAAUGGGCGCAAGCCUGAUGCAGCGACGCCACGUGGGGGAUGACGGCCUUCGGGUUGUAAACUCCUUUCGCUAGGGACGAAGCUUUUUGUGACGGUACCUAGAUAAGAAGCACCGGCUAACUACGUG
This 465-nucleotide ribosomal RNA is filed under the name uncultured bacterium. RNAcentral's name for it is "partial 16S ribosomal RNA". It matches the Rfam family "Bacterial small subunit ribosomal RNA", at positions 28 to 507 of the family's 1533-position model. The record is from RNAcentral.